RNAcentral lists this ribosomal RNA (559 nucleotides) under Sporobolomyces pararoseus. RNAcentral's name for it is "eukaryotic LSU rRNA". The stretch from base 159 to 312 matches the Rfam family "5.8S ribosomal RNA". The record is from RNAcentral. Lineage: Eukaryota; Fungi; Basidiomycota; Microbotryomycetes; Sporidiobolales; Sporidiobolaceae.
AAGGAUCAUUAUUGAAAACAAGGGUGUCCAAUUUAACUUGGAACCCAAACUUCUCAAUUCUAACUUUGUGCAUCUGUAUUAAUGGCGAGCAACUUCGGUUGUGAGCCUUCACUUACAAAACACUAGUCUAUGAAUGUAAAAUUUUUAUAACAAAUAAAAACUUUCAACAACGGAUCUCUUGGCUCUCGCAUCGAUGAAGAACGCAGCGAAAUGCGAUACGUAAUGUGAAUUGCAGAAUUCAGUGAAUCAUCGAAUCUUUGAACGCAUCUUGCGCUCUCUGGUAUUCCGGAGAGCAUGUCUGUUUGAGUGUCAUGAAUUCUUCAACCCAAUCUUUUCUUGUAAUCGAUUGGUGUUUGGAUUCUGAGCGUUGCUGGCGUUUGCCUAGCUCGUUCGUAAUACAUUAGCAUCCCUAAUACAAGUUUGGAUUGACUUGGCGUAAUAGACUAUUCGCUAAGGAUUCGGUGGAAACAUCGAGCCAACUUCAUUAAGGAAGCUCCUAAUUUAAAAGUCUACCUUUUGAUUAGAUCUCAAAUCAGGCAGGAUUACCCGCUGAACUUAA